Molecule: ribosomal RNA, 253 nt
Filed under: uncultured bacterium
Lineage: Bacteria
Description: partial 16S ribosomal RNA
Rfam family: Bacterial small subunit ribosomal RNA
Source: RNAcentral
UACAGAGGUGGCAAGCGUUGUUCGGAAUUACUGGGCGUAAAGGGCGCGUAGGCGGCCUUCUAAGUCAGACGUGAAAUCCCCCGGCUUAACCUGGGAACUGCGUCUGAUACUGGGAGGCUAGAGUAUGGGAGAGGGAUGUAGAAUUCCAGGUGUAGCGGUGAAAUGCGUAGAUAUCUGGAGGAAUACCGGUGGCGAAGGCGACUUACUGGACACAUAUUGACGCUGAGGUGCGAAAGCGUGGGGAGCAAACAGG